CCUACGGGAGGCAGCAGUGGGGAAUAUUGGGCAAUGGGCGCAAGCCUGACCCAGCAACGCCGCGUGAAGGAAGAAGGCUUUCGGGUUGUAAACUUCUUUUGUCAGGGACGAAGCAAGUGACGGUACCUGACGAAUAAGCCACGGCUAACUACGCGCCAGCAGCCGCGGUAAUACUGAGGUGGCAAGCGUUAUCCGGAUUUACUGGGUGUAAAGGGCGUGUAGGCGGGGCUGCAAGUCAGGUGUGAAAACCACGGGCGCAACCUGUGGCCUGCAUUUGAAACUGUAGUUCUUGAGUACAGGAGAGGCAGACGGAAUUCCUAGUGUAGCGGUGAAAUGCGUAGAUAUUAGGAGGAACACCAGUGGCGAAGGCGGUCUGCUGGACAGCAACUGACGCUGAGGCGCGAAAGCGUGGGGAGCAAACAGGAUUAGAUACCCUUGUAGUC
Molecule: ribosomal RNA, 443 nt
Filed under: uncultured bacterium
Lineage: Bacteria
Description: partial 16S ribosomal RNA
Rfam family: Bacterial small subunit ribosomal RNA
Source: RNAcentral